GCAGUUGGUGGAUUCUGGAGGAGUGAGAGCCUGCUUUUCCUCUAGCUGGCAGGAUAAACCAGGAAGGUAGCUGUCUGGUUUUCUGGGGUGGACCAAGAUAGCCAUUGGUUCCCUCUUUCUUUGGCUGUCCUAAUCUGCCUGUUUCUACUGUUGCUGUUACAGAGAAGUAGAUUUCUGCUGUUGCUGGUAACAUCUUACUGAGAUUUCUAUUUGGAUCAAAGAAAGGACUCCCAGGGGGAAGCUGGCACUCUGCUAAGAAACAACACCAGGAGGUGGAGAAUGGCUAUUGGUCUCUCACAAGUCUGCAAGAUUUCAAUGACAGCCUGAACCUGAUCUGCUGGCCCCAUACCUGCUUCAUGCCUGCCUAGCAAUGUCCAACUUAAAAAAAUAACAUCUUGGUCAAACUAUUUAUUUGAAAUAGUCAAGGAAAGGAAAGCCUGGUGAUCGAUCAGCCAAGGAGAUACUAUGUUUUCUCAGGGAGCAAAAACAAACAAACAACUGCCAAAUUUCAGCCAACAGAGGAAGCUGCCUGGCUGAUGAGUGAAAAAGAUAGAGGAGUGUACUUGGCUGAUGCUGAUAUUGACAUACCCCUUUGUCGCCUGGAUCAUUUUGGACACAACAUCGGGGCAUGUGGGAAAUUUCACCAAACCCUGCAGUCAGUGA
Monodelphis domestica (gray short-tailed opossum) is the source of this 663-nucleotide long non-coding RNA. RefSeq lists it as uncharacterized. Lineage: Eukaryota; Metazoa; Chordata; Mammalia; Didelphimorphia; Didelphidae. The record is from RefSeq and is a predicted model, not a curated record.